GUGGAGAUGGCCGAGUUGGUCUAAGGCGCCAGAUUAAGGUUAUGGUCCGAAAGGGCUGGGUUCAAAUCCCACUCUCCACA
Molecule: transfer RNA, 80 nt
Filed under: Punica granatum (pomegranate)
Lineage: Eukaryota; Viridiplantae; Streptophyta; Magnoliopsida; Myrtales; Lythraceae
Rfam family: tRNA
About the family: Transfer RNA (tRNA) molecules are approximately 80 nucleotides in length.
Source: Rfam by way of RNAcentral